Molecule: ribosomal RNA, 622 nt
Filed under: uncultured bacterium
Lineage: Bacteria
Description: bacterial SSU rRNA
Rfam family: Bacterial small subunit ribosomal RNA
Source: RNAcentral
CCUACGGGAGGCAGCAGUAGGGAAUCUUCCGCAAUGGACGAAAGUCUGACGGAGCAACGCCGCGUGAACGAUGAAGGCCUUCGGGUCGUAAAGUUCUGUUGUUAGGGAAGAACAAGUGCUAGUUGAAUAAGCUGGCACCUUGACGGUACCUAACCAGAAAGCCACGGCUAACUACGUGCCAGCAGCCGCGGUAAUACGUAGGUGGCAAGCGUUGUCCGGAAUUAUUGGGCGUAAAGCGCGCGCAGGCGGUUUCUUAAGUCUGAUGUGAAAGCCCCCGGCUCAACCGGGGAGGGUCAUUGGAAACUGGGAAACUUGAGUGCAGAAGAGGAAAGUGGAAUUCCAAGUGUAGCGGUGAAAUGCGUAGAGAUUUGGAGGAACACCAGUGGCGAAGGCGACUUUCUGGUCUGUAACUGACGCUGAGGCGCGAAAGCGUGGGGAGCAGACAGGAUUAGAUACCCUGGUAGUCCACGCUGUAAACGAUGAGUGCUAAGUGUUAGAGGGUUUUCCGCCCUUUUAGUGCUGAAGUUAACGCAUUAAGCACUCCGCCUGGGGGAUACGGUCGCAAGACUGAAACUCAAAGGAAUUGACCGGNNGAGAGNGCGAGACGACGACGAGGGAGAGG